This 301-nucleotide ribosomal RNA is filed under the name uncultured bacterium. RNAcentral describes it as "partial 16S ribosomal RNA". It matches the Rfam family "Bacterial small subunit ribosomal RNA", at positions 509 to 808 of the family's 1533-position model. The record is from RNAcentral.
CAGUAGCCGCGGUAAUACGUAGGUCCCGAGCGUUGUCCGGAUUUAUUGGGCGUAAAGCGAGCGCAGGCGGUUAGAUAAGUCUGAAGUUAAAGGCUGUGGCUUAACCAUAGUACGCUUUGGAAACUGUUUAGCUUGAGUGCAAGAGGGGAGAGUGGCAUUCCAUGUGUAGCGGUGAAAUGCGUAGAUAUAUGGAGGAACACCGGUGGCGAGAGCGGCUCUCUGGCUUGUAACUGACGCUGAGGCUCGAAAGCGUGGGGAGCAAACAGGAUUAGAUACCCCAGUAGUCCCUGUCUCUUAUACC